Pogoniulus pusillus (Red-fronted tinkerbird) is the source of this 4467-nucleotide long non-coding RNA. RefSeq lists it as uncharacterized. The transcript has 2 exons. NCBI's taxonomy places the organism in Eukaryota, Metazoa, Chordata, Aves, Piciformes, Lybiidae. The record is from RefSeq and is a predicted model, not a curated record.
UGGGCAGAGGGAUCCUCCUCCAGACGUCACUGAGCUUCAUCAGCAAGAUGCAAUAAUCACUUGUUUACCUCUAUGUGCAUGAGGUGUGAGAUGACAGAGGUGCCUGCAGGAACACACACACAGAGGUCUGGCAACUAAACAGCGAUCAGCAAACUGCCACCCUGAACAUAUCUGCCUGCCUCUCCCUGCUCAGAUCUACCUGGGGACACAGGUGUGCAAACUACUCCCUUCUCUCUAUCAAAAAAAGAAGGUGCAGUAGAAGACAUUGGCCCACACUGCUGUUAAUCAGCAGGAACAAAACCCCCACCAAAAUCCAAGGCAACCUGGAAAACCGCACUGAGCCAGCAAGCAGUUGCGCAACCGAAGCACUCUGCUGCCGCCGGGUUUGAACAGAUAGGGCUCGGCGCUCGUCAUCCAAACCUCCUGAACUUUGGUAAGGUGUUGCAGCUAUCUGAGAAGAGCAAACAAAGCUUCUGAUAACUUUCUGGAGGCCACACAACUGUCCAGCUGCUUCCACACCAACAGCUGCCCCAGGCAAAGCUGCAGGAAAGACAGGAAGCUCUGUGAGUCUGUGACCAGAACCUCUCCCCCGUUUCUACCUCACCUUUUAAGGUUGGAGCACAGAUAAGACUAGAGGAGGCUUUUAGUCCACCACCACAUGUACACAUUUUCCCCGGGUAACACAUCACAGCAGAAGCUUUUCAGUAUAGAUACUCCAGCACAGGAUUCACUUUCCUUAAUACAAUGACCCCAGGAAAACAUAAGCUAUCAGCUGAGCUAUCCUGGGAGCUCUGUGAGCAGGGAGAUAGGUGCUCUUCUUAAUGCUGAAUUAAGACUGGGGAAUAAUGUUACUGACCAGUCUCUGUCUCAGAGAUGGUCCUCACCUUACAAGGGUGAGAUGACUGAUGAAAAGACAGCCGAUGAAGUUACGACGACAGCUGGUGGUACUCAAGCUCAAAACACACCUGGAUAAAGCAGUCCUUCACACAAAGGACAGGUGGCUUGGGGAGCUGCUUCUCAUAGAUGCCCCAUAAUGUUUUGAGAAGAAUCAUGUAUGCUUGCUUGUUCUGCCAUUGCUCCCCAGGCACCUUCUGGCAAGAGAUGAGGUCAGGCCACUCUGCUGGAUGGGCUUUCAUUCUGAUUCAGCCUGGCCAUUGUCCAGUUCCUGUACUAAAUGUCUUCAAACUAAAAAUCACCAUUUGCAAACCCUUCAGACCUUGCAAGACCCCAGCAGCCACUGGUAACUGCAGUAUGUUACUGACUGCAACCUCACUCUCCAUUUUCAUCUGCCCUCUCCAGACAGUCUGCAUUUCUUCUCACGUUGGGAUUCAAGGAACCCAAUCCCCUCGAACAACUGCCCCGAGCCCAGCAGUGCCAUUUGGAGUCAACAGCUGCUGGGAAAAGGACACAACGCCUCCACAAGCUCCUCUCUCUGCCAGAGCCCAUCCCUGUUCCCCUUCAAAUCAAGGCUUGCAACCAUUUCCUCAAGGGGAGAGAUUUUGCAUGGGAGUUUCAUCUGUUUGUUGGUGUUUUCCAUCUUAGUAAGUUGUUAAAUGGUUUAUGUAGCAGGGAUAGCCCUGCCACUUAAAGAGGGAAGCAUGCAGUAGUAAUUAUUCAUUAACAACACAUCAGGAGUGACCUUUACACUGAAGCUGAGGAAGCCACCGUGCCUGUCCAGCUGUAUUCCAGAGGAUGUGAGCCAAGAGUUUCAAAGGGAGUAAAGAGUUUCACGAAGGGUAGGCAGCCUAAGCUAUCUCAGAAAGAUGCCUGAUUCUUUAGGGGACAAAAGCUGUUUGCAAGGUCUCACAUUCAGUGCCUACAAGCCACUAUACUGAGUUGAAAAAACUAAGCAGGAGUCACCACAGAGCUCAGUCCAAGCUGGUCUCACAGCCACCUCUGAUCCAGCAGAGCAAGGAAUGAACACACUGUUCUCCUCCACAGAAAAGGUACCUAUCCAGCAUGGGAUAACUACUGGAGAUCACCCAAUGAAAUCUGAACCAUUCUGGUGGCUCUACUGGAAAGCAGUUCUAUGGACUGGACCAAAAGCAAGGGCAGAGCUAGCAGCCUGCAGCAAGAGCUGGAGCCCCUUGUUUACAGCAGGCUUCUCUAGGGUAAGUUAUGCUGACCCAAGCCACACAUCCCCUGUAACAAAAAUCUAACUCCUGUCCCUGUGCCACAGGUUUUUCAGAGGGAGGUAAUUAAGUUUUGGGGGUUUUUUCUGUUGGAAGAGGAAGAAAACAAGUUCCACCUUUAGGCUGCCAUCUCAGGCACAUGUGGAUGCAUGUAGGAAGCACAGUGCCACACACAGAAGUGAGAAGCAAAGCCAAGGCACACACACAUGGUCCAGGCACCAGAAUCAUUUGUGAAGCAGAAACAAGAAGCAUCACUUUAUGCACGAUUACAUUUUCAAAAGCAAAGGGAGUUAGGGAAUGUCUCUGAAGACAGCCAGUAAGGUUCUGCAGGGAUCGCUGACUCAAGCCCUCGAUCUGGCUGUUUAGCUGAUGACUGGAAAACAGCUCUGGCUGUGUUUAUUCUGUAGACAAAGUCCAGCUAAAAAUUCAUCCAGGCUUAAAUAAUCUGUGUAACAAUGACCUCAAAACCCCCAACACAACACUGCAUUGCAUGCAGGUUUCCCAACAGGAUGAAGCAUUGUCAGGGCUGCUAUCCAGCUAUCCCCUCUUGAUGCACAGUCUGCUAUCACAGCAUUCUCAUCUCUGCACCACCAUUACUGCUCCUGGAAGUAACACACUAUUGCAUUUCCAUUUGCAUUUCAAUAUGGCCCCAAGGGCUUAACAUACAUCUGGUCCUCACUGCAGCUACUCUCUUCCCAAAGAGGAUACUGCCUAAAGAAGUCGAGACAAAGGAUGUGUCUUGAGCAACCUCAUGACACAGGCUCUCGGGAAACCAUGAGCAGAGCCUCCCACCUGCUAGCGCAGCAAAGCAUCCCAGUUUACUCUGCAGCUCUCCAUGCCACCACUGCUCUACAAACAGCAGCAAAUGUCAUUCUCCCAGUUAUCACAGAUGGGGAGAGCCAGAGGAGGAGGCACAGGUCCAAGCCCAAGGUUACACAUCAGGUCAGGAAUGAGCCACUAGGAAUAUUUGACUCAUCAAUGUCAGAAGAUUCCAAACUUUCCAUGUUAUCUAAACAACAAAAGCCUAAUACAAGACACUAUAAAGAGGUUGCUGAGCACAGCUUGGGAACUGGAGAUCUCACAUGCAGCCUUGUAGCUUUAUACCUAUCACCUUGAGAUAAGUGCCCCUUUCACCCCCCUUCCCCCCCAUACAUCCCAACCUGGCAGUGAUUUCGCUCCUAUCACAAACAUUAUACUCAGUGGGAGAGAAGGACUUAAUGUCCUUUAAAGACAUUUAUACAGUGUUAUUAGUUAGGAUUUGUGAGCUAUUCCAAGUAACAAAACACUGCUUUUCUUCCAGAGUGAGUAAUUCUAUUCACAUACUCAGUGUCUCCCAUCACAAUGCUGAUCCUAACCCCCCUUCUAGCCCACAGUUCUGGGGCUCAGCACAGGCAGAGAUGAUAAAUGAGACCAAGUGCCUCAGACCAGCCAUGCAGCUGAUUAACCCUCUCUCCUCCUUGGUGAGCUUGGGAUGGUUACAUCAGUUUUGUUCCUGCUGCCCAAGGAAUUGGCAGUGGCCACGCUGGGCACGGGGAGAUGGUGCCUCCUGCCCAGAGUAAAGUCAGCCUCUGUCUGCUGGUAAGCAGAGAACUGCAGACAGAAGAAUCCUCAGAUCCAUUUAAGAAUAAUCUCAAAAUAGGGCAGUGCCUCUCAACCGAGGCCUUGCCAAGAUGCUUAAGCUUUCAGCCACUCACUUUUCACAUCGGCUGUGUGUGUUUAUUCCUCCCCAGCCACCUGCACGUCCCAGCCCCAGCCUCGGCCACUAAGCUGCGGCAUGGGUUUGGGUUUUUUGUUGUAGGUAUGUCUAGCAAGGGCUCAGCAACAUGCUUCUCUCUCCAUCUAUUAAAUAGUGCUUUAUGCACGUAUAGAUUUAAGGCCAGCUAGCUAAGAGCACAGCAUGCAGUGCAGUGACUCAUGCAGCCAGCAAAGGAUAAAAUUGGCUGCAUGCAUGCCCGCAUAGGGCAUUCUGCAGCUCUUCCUAUAAUUAGUCCUUCAAACACUAGAGGGAAAAGUCACCAAUUCAAAGAGGUUCCACUUCCCCAUUAUUCACAUAUUUCCAAAUCAAAUGGUUGUCUGUCACACAGCAACAUGCCAUUGCCCUAGGAUAUCCAAAUGCAAACUGAAAAGUCUCUCCAGGAACAGGAUUUGCUUUCAUUACAUUUAGAUCACCUAAUUCAUUUUAAAAUUAUAUAUAAUUAGCCUCUCCCUCCAUUCCUCCCCUCUCCAGUUCAAUAUUCUCUCCCAAGCAAUUUAUGAACAUACCACACGUGCCAGUGGUGUUUCUUCUGAGGCAGCAGUCUUUUGCCUCUCAAACAAUAAAAGGAAUUUUAAUGCC